RNAcentral lists this ribosomal RNA (458 nucleotides) under uncultured bacterium. Its description in RNAcentral is "bacterial SSU rRNA". It matches the Rfam family "Bacterial small subunit ribosomal RNA", at positions 353 to 803 of the family's 1533-position model. The record is from RNAcentral.
AGUGGGGAAUUUUGGACAAUGGGCGAAAGCCUGAUCCAGCAAUGCCGCGUGCAGGAUGAAGGCCUUCGGGUUGUAAACUGCUUUUGUACGGAACGAAAAGCUUUGGGUUAAUACCCUGGAGUCAUGACGGUACCGUAAGAAUAAGCACCGGCUAACUACGUGCCAGCAGCCGCGGUAAUACGUAGGGUGCAAGCGUUAAUCGGAAUUACUGGGCGUAAAGCGUGCGCAGGCGGUUUUGUAAGACAGAGGUGAAAUCCCCGGGCUCAACCUGGGAACUGCCUUUGUGACUGCAAGGCUAGAGUACGGCAGAGGGGGGUGGAAUUCCGCGUGUAGCAGUGAAAUGCGUAGAUAUGCGGAGGAACACCGAUGGCGAAGGCAACCCCCUGGGCCUGUACUGACGCUCAUGCACGAAAGCGUGGGGAGCAAACAGGAUUAGAUACCCUGGUAGUCCACGCCCU